RNAcentral lists this non-coding RNA (81 nucleotides) under human gut metagenome. RNAcentral describes it as "Glycine riboswitch". It matches the Rfam family "Glycine riboswitch aptamer", at positions 9 to 86 of the family's 94-position model. From Rfam's summary of the family: This family represents the bacterial glycine riboswitch. The record is from RNAcentral.
AACCUCUGGAGAAUCUCCACCGUGAGUGCCGAAGGUGCAAGGCGUUUUUCGCCGAAUCUCUCAGGCAAAAGGACAGAGUGC